Molecule: long non-coding RNA, 1225 nt
Organism: Zootermopsis nevadensis
Lineage: Eukaryota; Metazoa; Arthropoda; Insecta; Blattodea; Termopsidae
Source: RefSeq, a predicted model, not a curated record
GACAAUUGGAACGGGGAGACAACCCCAUAAAUGAAAAUCAUACGGAUAUAAUUCUCUAGAAAUAAUCGUUCACGAGAUAUCAUGGUAGGGAGAAAUCGUCAAAUGGGCAAGAGUUUCACCGAUCAUAAGGAGAAAAGAAUCCACUGUUGAUGCAGAGAGGCAUAGACAACAGACACACGGAGGGUUAAAUAGAUACAAAAUAAACUUUAGGGGACACUCAUGAACUAGAGAGUUAACGCAGAAGAACAGCGUACAUAAAAGGAAUACACAUUACUCACAUCUAAAGAUAAACAAGACUUGAGGAGCUCACAACGCCUGUGGACAUAGAUCACAGCAGGUAGUUAGCUAAGAGUGCGGUUGUUUCAGUGUCCAUCAUGUUUAGUCGACGUGCAACACUUCAAAUGUACAUCGCGGAAUACUAGCGUGAACAUGUCUGCAUGAAUAGUCGCCAUAACAGCAUGAAACUUGGCUGUCAGGUCUUCUAUGUCGCGGUCGUCUCUUGUGCGGUGCUGGUGUUGACAGCAGUUUGCAAGUCUCCCUCAUCCUGUCGUACACAUUACUGGGCUGGGGGCGACGUGCUGGCUACCUCCAUGCAGCGUGAAUAAAGAUACCACAAGCUCGAAGCAUCGAAUACGUUAUCACAGUAACAGUGCAAAGUGAAGUUCGUUUCAGUUGUUAUUUCUUGGUGAUUUGUUCAAUGUCUUUCGACGACUGCACAGCGCAAAAGAUAUGAAAAGUGCACAGGAAGAUAUUACACAGACGGCAACAGUGGCCGAGUGGUCUGGAGUGUGGACCUUGAUCCGAGUCAUGCUGCCGAGAGGUCUCGACCCAGAGGUCCUACCAAAUAUCUAAAUGCUUUAAGGAACUUUCCAUAUGUGAGGCGGCGAAGGUCCUUCAAGGACUACAGAAUCACGUAAAGAAUUUCUUCAGUUAUUCAUGCAUCUCUUAAAACAACUGUCCUGCUAACCACCAUGAAGGCGCUUCGGGGGAGAUGUAGUACAGCUCCUACUCACUCCUGACCUCGGCAAUAGAUGGGGUGAGUAGUCAGCGUCACGUCCAGGCCGCACUUUUUCCUCUCUGCACACAUUUUAAAAGUCUGCUGAUGAAUAAUCAUGUUGAGACACUUUAUGAAACAGAAGUUAUGUUGAUGCAGCGAACAUUUUAGAACAUAGCAUCUUGAAAAUUAUCUAAUUUAUAGCAUCGUUUUUACAAAAUGUUUCGCUGG